Notolabrus celidotus (New Zealand spotty) is the source of this 408-nucleotide non-coding RNA. The record is from the annotation of a RefSeq genome assembly. Lineage: Eukaryota; Metazoa; Chordata; Actinopteri; Labriformes; Labridae.
AUGGAUUCAGAGGUUUUUGUACGGCGGCUCAAUGACUUUGUAUCACUGUGGUACACGUUCGGUGGAGGAACCAGACUGAAUGUUAACGUGGGUCUAGUGCGCCCCGCCCUGACGGUGCUUCCCCCCUCCGAUAAGGAGCUGCAGCAGGGGACGGCCACACUCAUGUGCCUGGCCAACAAGGGCUUCCCCUCAGACUGGAGUCUGGCCUGGAAGGUGGACGACAGAAGGAGCAGCGGGGAGCAGAGCAGGAGCCCCGGAGCGCUGCAGAAGGACGGCCUUUACAGCUGGAGCAGCACCCUGAGGCUCCCUGCAGACCAGUGGAGGAAGCUGGGCUCUGUGACCUGUGAGGCCACCCAGGGCUCCCAGACUCCACUCUCAGAGACACUGAGGAGAGACCAGUGUUCCUAG